CCGUCGGACUGUUCCAUCGCUUUGUGAAAACAGGGAGGAAAGUCGGGACAACACAGGGCACCAUACUUCCUAACAGGAAGGGUACACUGAAAAGUGCACACAGCAAGUGCCACAGAAAAUUACCGCCUCGUUUCGACGGGGUAAGGGUGAAAACGUGGGGUAAGAGCCCACGCGCGGUUCUGGUGACAGGAUCGUGGGGUAAACCUUAUGGGUUGCAAGGCCAAAUAUACCGGCAGAUCCGCUUCGGCGGGAUAAGGGCUGCCCGUUCGAUGCCGGUGGGUAGGCUGCUGGAGCCCUGUGGUGACACAGGGCCAAGAUAAAUGAUGGAAGUCCCGAAAUAUCGGGAGACAGAAUCCCGCUUACAGGUCCGACGGUUUU
RNAcentral lists this RNase P RNA (378 nucleotides) under Bacteroidales bacterium. RNAcentral's name for it is "RNase P RNA component class A". It matches the Rfam family "Bacterial RNase P class A". From Rfam's summary of the family: Ribonuclease P (RNase P) is a ubiquitous endoribonuclease, found in archaea, bacteria and eukarya as well as chloroplasts and mitochondria. Its best characterised activity is the generation of mature 5'-ends of tRNAs by cleaving the 5'-leader elements of precursor-tRNAs. The record is from RNAcentral. Lineage: Bacteria; Pseudomonadati; Bacteroidota; Bacteroidia; Bacteroidales.